Molecule: long non-coding RNA, 241 nt
Organism: Erpetoichthys calabaricus (reedfish)
Lineage: Eukaryota; Metazoa; Chordata; Cladistia; Polypteriformes; Polypteridae
Exons: 3
Source: RefSeq, a predicted model, not a curated record
GAGGAAGUUACUGAAGUGACUCAAGAGGGUGUUUCAGAAGAGACUAAGGACUAACAGAUUUAGACACAACACUUUGGCACUCGCCUGAAGAAUCACCCCAGUGACUGGACUUGCGACUGUUUCAAACUGUUAGAACACACUCACUUCCAAAGGAACUCUCUGAAGACUUUUGAAAUAAUGGAGAAUCAUUGUGGAAAAUGGUUUUCACUAUCUUUUAUGUUUUUGGACUUUAAAAACAUAU